UACGUAGGCAGCGAGCGUUGUUCGGAGUUACUGGGCGUAAAGAGUGCGUAGGUGGUUUUCUAAGUUUGGUGUGAAAUCUCCCGGCUUAACUGGGAGGGUGCGCCGAAAACUGGGAGACUUGAGUGUGGGAGAGGAAAGCGGAAUUCCUGGCGUAGCGGUGAAAUGCGUAGAUAUCAGGAGGAACACCUGCGGUGUAGACGGCUUUCUGGACCACUACUGACACUGAGGCACGAAAGCGUGGGUAGCAAACAGG
This 253-nucleotide ribosomal RNA is filed under the name uncultured bacterium. RNAcentral describes it as "partial 16S ribosomal RNA". It matches the Rfam family "Bacterial small subunit ribosomal RNA", at positions 524 to 776 of the family's 1533-position model. The record is from RNAcentral.